RNAcentral lists this long non-coding RNA (889 nucleotides) under Oryza sativa Indica Group (long-grained rice). RNAcentral's name for it is "lncRNA OsZS97_01G001620". The record is from RNAcentral. Lineage: Eukaryota; Viridiplantae; Streptophyta; Magnoliopsida; Poales; Poaceae.
CGCGGGCGGCGGGCGGCGGCCGAGCAGGCGGUGGCGUCCGGCGAGGGGCCAGACGGGAGGCGUGCCAGGCGGUGCCCCGGUGGUCCAGUGCAUGCCCGGAGCAGGUGGCGACCUCCGGUGAGCUGCAAGCUGGCGAGCGCCGAGCGGCAAGGUGCCGUGGCGGCGUCCAGUGAGCCGGCGAUGGGCCAGACAGAAGGCAGGCCAGGCGGAGGCGGUGGUCCAGCACUCCAGCGCCUGCGCCGCCACGCCGCCGGGAAGGUGGCGAGCCGCUCGCUGGCGAGGUGCCGCGAGGGCGCAAGGCGCCGAGGCAGGCAGGCAGCAGGUCAGCGGCACAGUGGCCGGCAAGGCAGCAACGAGUCAACGACGCAGUCGCAGCCUACUGUGACUGUGAUUGAAGAUUUGAAGUUAGAAAUCGGUAAACUAGCGAAUAGGCGCGGGCGGCGGGCGGCGGCCGAGCAGGCGGUGGCGUCCGGCGAGGGGCCAGACGGGAGGCGUGCCAGGCGGUGCCCCGGUGGUCCAGUGCAUGCCCGGAGCAGGUGGCGACCUCCGGUGAGCUGCAAGCUGGCGAGCGCCGAGCGGCAAGGUGCCGUGGCGGCGUCCAGUGAGCCGGCGAUGGGCCAGACAGAAGGCAGGCCAGGCGGAGGCGGUGGUCCAGCACUCCAGCGCCUGCGCCGCCACGCCGCCGGGAAGGUGGCGAGCCGCUCGCUGGCGAGGUGCCGCGAGGGCGCAAGGCGCCGAGGCAGGCAGGCAGCAGGUCAGCGGCACAGUGGCCGGCAAGGCAGCAACGAGUCAACGACGCAGUCGCAGCCUACUGUGACUGUGAUUGAAGAUUUGAAGUUAGAAAUCGGUAAACUAGUAACCUCUAAUACUAAUAGAUAGUCUAAAAUUG